Molecule: long non-coding RNA, 432 nt
Organism: Crotalus tigris (Tiger rattlesnake)
Lineage: Eukaryota; Metazoa; Chordata; Lepidosauria; Squamata; Viperidae
Exons: 3
Source: RefSeq, a predicted model, not a curated record
CGUCAUUGCGGAACCGGAGAUGGAGCCAAUCGACGGAGGAGGAAGGCGUGAACGUCGGAAUCGCCAGGACUGGGGGGGGGGGGAGAGGAGGGCGAGGAUGACGGCACCUAUUUAACCCGAUGCGCGUCGUGCCGGCGGGAUCUUGGUCCUCUGCGGGAGAUUCGACGGUUUCAGUUCCGCGGAGAAGGAGCGAUGCCGCGCGCUCUUCUCCCCACCCAUCUGAGAUCGAGAUCCCUUGAAAGGGAGAGGAGGAACAGCCCUCGGCUAAACUUCUCCGGAGGGACCUCUGGGAUUUUGGAUACAUCCUCCUCUGGGAUCAGCUGCGCAAUUCCUCCUCUGUUGUUUCUGGCAGGACCAAGGAGGCUGCAGGGGGCCCUGCUUCUGGCUCUCCAGCCAGGACACACACCCCCCCCUUCGGAGGUCAAAAGGAAG